Molecule: transfer RNA, 73 nt
Filed under: Ictidomys tridecemlineatus (thirteen-lined ground squirrel)
Lineage: Eukaryota; Metazoa; Chordata; Mammalia; Rodentia; Sciuridae
Also listed under: 1 other name
Description: Spermophilus tridecemlineatus (thirteen-lined ground squirrel) tRNA
Rfam family: tRNA
About the family: Transfer RNA (tRNA) molecules are approximately 80 nucleotides in length.
Source: Rfam by way of RNAcentral
GGGGAUAUAGCUCAGUUGGUAGAGUGCUUGCCUUGCAUGCAUAAGGCCCUGGGUUCAAUCCCCAGAACCACCA